UUCCGUAGGUGAACCUGCGGAGGGAUCAUUACCGAGUUUACAACUCCCAAACCCAAUGUGAACGUUACCAAACUGUUGCCUCGGCGGGGUCACGCCCCGGGUGCGUCGCAGCCCCGGAACCAGGCGCCCGCCGGAGGAACCAACCAAACUCUUUACUGUAGUCCCCUCGCGGACGUUUUUACUUACAGCUCUGAGCAAAAAUUCAAAAUGAAUCAAAACUUUCAACAACGGAUCUCUUGGUUCUGGCAUCGAUGAAGAACGCAGCGAAAUGCGAUAAGUAAUGUGAAUUGCAGAAUUCAGUGAAUCAUCGAAUCUUUGAACGCACAUUGCGCCCGCCAGUAUUCUGGCGGGCAUGCCUGUCCGAGCGUCAUUUCAACCCUCGAACCCCUCCGGGGGGUCGGCGUUGGGGAUGCGGGAACCCCUAAGACGGGAUCCCGGCCCCGAAAUACAGUGGCGGUCUCGCCGCAGCCUCUCCUGCGCAGUAGUUUGCACAACUCGCACCGGGAGCGCGGCGCGUCCACGUCCGUAAAACACCCAACUUUCUGAAAUGUUGACCUCGGAUCAGGUAGGAAUACCCGCU
Molecule: ribosomal RNA, 580 nt
Filed under: Trichoderma strigosum
Lineage: Eukaryota; Fungi; Ascomycota; Sordariomycetes; Hypocreales; Hypocreaceae
Description: eukaryotic LSU rRNA
Rfam family: 5.8S ribosomal RNA (bases 217-370)
Source: RNAcentral